CCUACGGGGGGCAGCAGUGAGGAAUAUUGGUCAAUGGGCGGAAGCCUGAACCAGCCAAGUCGCGUGAGGGAUUAAGGCCCUGCGGGUCGUAAACCUCUUUUGCCGGGGAGCAGAGGUCCGGACGUGUCCGGGCCGGGAGAGUACCCGGAGAAAAAGCAUCGGCUAACUCCGUGCCAGCAGCCGCGGUAAUACGGGGGGUGCGAGCGUUAUCCGGUUUUAUUGGGGUUAAAGGGUGCGUAGGCGGGCAUUUAAGCCGGCGGUCAAAUGUCGGGGCUCAAACCCGGCCUGCAGUCGGAACUGGGGGCCUUGAGUGGGCGAGAAGGAUGCGGAAUGCGUGGUGUAGCGGUGAAAUGCAUAGAUAUCACGCAGAACCCCGAUUGCGAAGGCAGGAGACCGGCGCCCUACUGACGCUGAGGCACGAAAGUGCGGGUAUCGAACAGGAUUAGAUACCCCUGUAGUC
RNAcentral lists this ribosomal RNA (460 nucleotides) under uncultured bacterium. Its description in RNAcentral is "partial 16S ribosomal RNA". It matches the Rfam family "Bacterial small subunit ribosomal RNA", at positions 338 to 795 of the family's 1533-position model. The record is from RNAcentral.